UGGUGUUUACUAUGAAUGUGUGGGAACAU
RNAcentral lists this non-coding RNA (29 nucleotides) under Rattus norvegicus (Norway rat). The record is from RNAcentral. Lineage: Eukaryota; Metazoa; Chordata; Mammalia; Rodentia; Muridae.